AAUUAUUAGAGUCGGACCAAAAAACAAAGGAAUCGGAGGAGCUAGGAUUCGCUGCAGCGAUGCCAUCCGUACUAUUCCAUCCCCACCCCCAACCGCUCACUCCACCCUUAUCCCGUCACCGCCAUCCGCCCUUGUGCACCCAGAAGAGUCCAACGGCCUGGUUUUUAUCGGCACUGCCAACGGGAUUUAUCUCUUUGCGGCCCACGACUGGCUCCACCAUCCGGUGCAUGGCAAAUCCAAGGAGAGUGAAGAUGGUGGCCAAGCAGAUACGAAGAGAGCUCUCCGAUAUGCUACUCACUGACACAGUCUUGCAGUACGCUAUUCUCCCAGAAGCUUCUUUAGGAGCCGACCGCUACCUUUCCUCCCUCACCACCAUUAGCGAUGUUGAAGUCUCCGGAGAUUUGCAGGUGGUUAAAGUGUAUGUAUCUGUGUUUGGCGAUGAAAGAGGGAAGGAAGUAGCCAUUGCUGGUUUGAAGUCAAAAGCCAAGUAUGUCAGAAGUGAGUUGGGGAGGCGGAUGAAGUUGCGAAUGACUCCUGAGAUUCGAUUUAUAGAAGAUGAGUCAUUAGAGAGAGGAAGCAGGGUAAUUGCAAUAUUAGACAAGAUAAAGAAUGAGAAAAAUAAUGAAGAGAGCCAAGAUGUAGAGCAGUCCGAUUCAUCCAAUGUGUCUCAAGAUGACAGAGAGUGGGAAGGCGAUGACCCUGAUGAAGACAUCAUAUAUGUUAACUGAAUCCUCAACACUAGACCUUGCCGAAAGGAGGGGUAUGGCUCUUAAUGUUCACAGGGUGAAGGCCUUAGUCAUAAUGCUAACCCGGACACAAGCAAGUUUUUGCAUGCUACCCAUCAUCUGGAUCGAAUAUGAAGUACUUGACGUCAACCGUGGCAUCCCAUGUGAAGUUACGCAGAAUUUUGUCUUGCUGCCCUUCUAGAAUAGUUCGUGUUCUAUUAUCUUUUUGAUUAACUUGUUUUACAAUGAGUGCAAGCACUACAUUACCAUGUGGUAAGUUUAGAGCACCUAAAAGUUGAGAAUGGCCACAGAGUGAAUUGUAAUUAUCAAUUUAUCAUCAAAACCCAAGUCCGCUUUAUAUGUUCACUACUGCAUUCAAGGGAGGAGAAAUGGAACUA
This is an RNA transcript of Juglans microcarpa x Juglans regia, 1123 nucleotides long. It is a transcript of the gene named probable ribosome-binding factor A, chloroplastic, with no coding region annotated. The record is from RefSeq and is a predicted model, not a curated record. Lineage: Eukaryota; Viridiplantae; Streptophyta; Magnoliopsida; Fagales; Juglandaceae. The transcript is spliced from 4 exons.